CCUACGGGAGGCAGCAGUGAGGAAUAUUGGUCAAUGGACGGAAGUCUGAACCAGCCAUGCCGCGUGCAGGAAGACGGCUCUAUGAGUUGUAAACUGCUUUUGUACAAGGGUAAAUCUGCAUACGUGUAUUCAGAUGAAAGUACUGUACGAAUAAGGAGCGGCUAACUCCGUGCCAGCCGCCGCGGUAAUACGGAGGGUCCAAGCUGUAUCCGGAUUUAUAGGGUUUAAAGUGCGCGUAGGCGGAUUGAUAAGUUCGAGGUGAAAUGGACGAGCUUAACUCGGGAACUGCCUCGAAUACUGUUGAUCUGGAGUGUAGGUGCGGUAGGCGGAAUGUAAGGUGUAGCGGUGAAAUGCUUAGAGAUC
RNAcentral lists this ribosomal RNA (363 nucleotides) under uncultured bacterium. RNAcentral's name for it is "partial 16S ribosomal RNA". It matches the Rfam family "Bacterial small subunit ribosomal RNA", at positions 338 to 698 of the family's 1533-position model. The record is from RNAcentral.